Molecule: long non-coding RNA, 266 nt
Filed under: Apteryx owenii (little spotted kiwi)
Lineage: Eukaryota; Metazoa; Chordata; Aves; Apterygiformes; Apterygidae
Description: lncRNA (ENSAOWG00000002939.1)
Source: RNAcentral
CUCUGCCUGGCCUAGUUGUCACCCUGGGAGACCAUGAGCACGUGUAAUAUUUGAGUGUCUUGAAAUACUUGAAGAUACAACAAAAAUAACACCCCAGUAUAAUGAAAGGCAGGAGUACAAAUCGGUGUAUACCUGGAAUCAGCAAGCCAAGUAAAUAGAAAACACCACAUACUUUGAAAAAUACUUUCCUCCAGGUAGUUUCUUGUUUCAUAUGGCUGGUUGUUAUCUAAUAUUUUCUCCCUAUGUACUAUCCAUAUCUAUCUUUU